Dendrobium catenatum is the source of this 107-nucleotide small nucleolar RNA. The record is from RefSeq and is a predicted model, not a curated record. Lineage: Eukaryota; Viridiplantae; Streptophyta; Magnoliopsida; Asparagales; Orchidaceae.
AAAUCAUGGUGGGGACAAUUCUUAAACAUUUCUUCAAAUCUCACCCAACCCUCAUAAAUUCAUUCUCCUACAAAUUGAGCAAAACACAUAAUAUCAUUUUUAAGCUU